UGGGGAAUAUUGCACAAUGGGCGCAAGCCUGAUGCAGCCAUGCCGCGUGUAUGAAGAAGGCCUUCGGGUUGUAAAGUACUUUCAGCGAGGAGGAAGGCGGUAAGGUUAAUAACCUUAUCGAUUGACGUUACUCGCAGAGGAAGCACCGGCUAACUCCGUGCCAGCAGCCGCGGUAAUACGGAGGGUGCAAGCGUUAAUCGGAAUUACUGGGCGUAAAGCGCACGCAGGCGGUCUGUCAAAUCGGAUGUGAAAUCCCCGGGCUCAACCUGGGAACUGCAUUCGAAACUGGCAGGCUAGAGUCUUGUAGAGGGGGGUAGAAUUCCAGGUGUAGCGGUGAAAUGCGUAGAGAUCUGGAGGAAUACCGGUGGCGAAGGCGGCCCCCUGGACAAAGACUGACGCUCAGGUGCGAAAGCGUGGGGAGCAAACA
Molecule: ribosomal RNA, 427 nt
Filed under: uncultured bacterium
Lineage: Bacteria
Description: partial 16S ribosomal RNA
Rfam family: Bacterial small subunit ribosomal RNA
Source: RNAcentral